This 429-nucleotide ribosomal RNA is filed under the name Chloroflexota bacterium. RNAcentral's name for it is "Chloroflexi bacterium partial 16S ribosomal RNA". It matches the Rfam family "Bacterial small subunit ribosomal RNA", at positions 355 to 776 of the family's 1533-position model. Lineage: Bacteria; Bacillati; Chloroflexota. The record is from RNAcentral.
UGGGGAAUAUUGCACAAUGGGCGCAAGCCUGAUGCAGCCAUGCCGCGUGUAUGAAGAAGGCCUUCGGGUUGUAAAGUACUUUCAGUCGGGAGGAAGGUGUCAAGGUUAAUAACCUUGGCAAUUGACGUUACCGACAGAAGAAGCACCGGCUAACUCCGUGCCAGCAGCCGCGGUAAUACGGAGGGUGCAAGCGUUAAUCGGAAUUACUGGGCGUAAAGCGCACGCAGGCGGUUGAUUGAGUCAGAUGUGAAAUCCCCGGGCUUAACCCGGGAAUUGCAUCUGAUACUGGUCAGCUAGAGUCUUGUAGAGGGGGGUAGAAUUCCAUGUGUAGCGGUGAAAUGCGUAGAGAUGUGGAGGAAUACCGGUGGCGAAGGCGGCCCCCUGGACAAAGACUGACGCUCAGUUGCGAAAGCGUGGGGAGCAAACAGG